Molecule: ribosomal RNA, 315 nt
Filed under: uncultured Oscillospiraceae bacterium
Lineage: Bacteria; Bacillati; Bacillota; Clostridia; Eubacteriales; Oscillospiraceae
Description: partial 16S ribosomal RNA
Source: RNAcentral
GGAGUCUGGGCCGUGUCUCAGUCCCAAUGUGGCCGUUCAACCUCUCAGUCCGGUUACCGAUCGUCGACUUGGUGGGCCGUUACCUCACCAACUAUCUAAUCGGACGCGAGUCCAUCCUUCAGCGGAUUGCUCCUUUGACCCCUCUACCAUGCGGUAGCGUGGUCUUAUGCGGUAUUAGCAGUCGUUUCCAACUGUUGUCCCCCUCUGAAGGGCAGGUUACUCACGCGUUACUCACCCGUCCGCCACUAAGUCAAGAGAGCAAGCUCUCUUGCUUCGUUCGACUUGCAUGUGUUAGGCACGCCGCCAGCGUUCAUC